RNAcentral lists this ribosomal RNA (251 nucleotides) under uncultured prokaryote. RNAcentral's name for it is "partial 16S ribosomal RNA". It matches the Rfam family "Bacterial small subunit ribosomal RNA", at positions 525 to 775 of the family's 1533-position model. The record is from RNAcentral.
ACGUAGGAGGCGAGCGUUAUCCGGAUUUACUGGGCGUAAAGCGCGUGUAGGCGGUUCGGUGAGUUGGAUGUGAAAGCUCCUGGCCUAACUGGGAGAGGUCGUUCAAUACUGCCGGACUAGAGGAUGGGAGAGGGAGGUGGAAUUCCGGGUGUAGUGGUGAAAUGCGUAGAGAUCCGGAGGAACCCCGGUGGCGAAGGCGACUUGCUGGGCCUGAACUGACGCUCAGACGCGAAAGCAUGGGGAGCGAACGG